RNAcentral lists this ribosomal RNA (254 nucleotides) under uncultured bacterium. RNAcentral's name for it is "partial 16S ribosomal RNA". It matches the Rfam family "Bacterial small subunit ribosomal RNA", at positions 524 to 776 of the family's 1533-position model. The record is from RNAcentral.
UACGUAGGGUGCGAGCGUUGUCCGGAAUUACUGGGCGUAAAGAGCUCGUAGGCGGUUCGGUAAGUCGGGUGUGAAAACUCUGGGCUCAACCCAGAGCCGCCACCCGAUACUGCUGUGACUCGAGUGCGGUAGGGGAGCGGGGAAUUCCUGGUGUAGCGGUGAAAUGCGCAGAUAUCAGGAAGAACACCCGUGGCUAAGGCGGCUCUCUAGUACGGUACUGACGCUGAGACGCGAAAGCGUGGGGAGCGAACAGG